CUGCAGCAGGUUCGGGUCGAGCGCAGUGAGACAGCGUUGCUGAAGGCAACGACCCGGAGGGCGAGGCAACGCCGAGUCAUCCUGCACGACCCACCA
RNAcentral lists this small RNA (96 nucleotides) under Erwinia persicina. RNAcentral's name for it is "partial RtT sRNA". It matches the Rfam family "RtT RNA", at positions 30 to 130 of the family's 130-position model. Rfam says of the family: This family represents a bacterial cis-regulatory element known as RtT RNA. The exact function of RtT is unknown although it is thought that it may be involved in changing the cellular response in relation to amino acid starvation. Lineage: Bacteria; Pseudomonadati; Pseudomonadota; Gammaproteobacteria; Enterobacterales; Erwiniaceae. The record is from RNAcentral.